This 335-nucleotide ribosomal RNA is filed under the name uncultured bacterium. RNAcentral's name for it is "bacterial SSU rRNA". It matches the Rfam family "Bacterial small subunit ribosomal RNA", at positions 28 to 334 of the family's 1533-position model. The record is from RNAcentral.
GACGAACGCUGGCGGCGUGCCUAAUACAUGCAAGUCGAGCGAGCUUGCCUAGAUGAUUUUAGUGCUUGCACUAAAUGAAACUAGAUACAAGCGAGCGGCGGACGGGUGAGUAACACGUGGGUAACCUGCCCAAGAGACUGGGAUAACACCUGGAAACAGAUGCUAAUACCGGAUAACAACACUAGACGCAUGUCUAGAGUGAGGAAAGGAGUAAUCCACUAGUAGAUGGGCUCGCGUCUGAUUAGCUAGUUGGUGGGGUAAUGGCCUACCAAGGCGACGAUCAGUAGCCGGACUGAGAGGUUGAACGGCCACAUUGGGACUGAGAUACGGCCCAG